This 497-nucleotide ribosomal RNA is filed under the name uncultured bacterium. RNAcentral describes it as "partial 16S ribosomal RNA". It matches the Rfam family "Bacterial small subunit ribosomal RNA", at positions 28 to 507 of the family's 1533-position model. The record is from RNAcentral.
GACGAACGCUGGCGGCGUGCCUAAUACAUGCAAGUAGAACGCUGAAGAGAGGAGCUUGCUCUUCUUGGAUGAGUUGCGAACGGGUGAGUAACGCGUAGGUAACCUGCCUGGUAGCGGGGGAUAACUAUUGGAAACGAUAGCUAAUACCGCAUAAAAUGGAUUAUCGCAUGAUAAUCCAUUGAAAGGUGCAAAUGCAUCACUACCAGAUGGACCUGCGUUGUAUUAGCUAGUUGGUGGGGUAACGGCUCACCAAGGCGACGAUACAUAGCCGACCUGAGAGGGUGAUCGGCCACACUGGGACUGAGACACGGCCCAGACUCCUACGGGAGGCAGCAGUAGGGAAUCUUCGGCAAUGGACGGAAGUCUGACCGAGCAACGCUGCGUGAGUGAAGAAGGUUUUCGGAUCGUAAAGCUCUGUUGUAAGAGAAGAACGAGUGUGAGAGUGGAAAGUUCACACUGUGACGGUAUCUUACCAGAAAGGGACGGCUAACUACGUG